ACUCCCCAAGAGUCACACAUCUAGUCAGUGACUGAGACCAGAUUUGAACUGGGGGAGCUGAGUCUUCCUGUCUCCAGGACCAGCACUCAAUCCACUGUGCCAUCUAGCUGCUCCUACUUGAACUACAAUGAACCAUUUGAACAUUACCCCCUUUUGUCUUCUUUCUUAUAGAAGAUUUUUCAUCCAAAGUGGAGAAUGGAAUCUGGAGGCUUAUCCUGUCCCUUCUCAGAGUAGCAUCAUGCCCCCAGCCCUGUUAACCAGAUGCCUCUGGAUUUCAGAUGCCCUCAAAGAGGUAAAAAGAUGCAAAAUAAGACUGGCUGGCCAUGCUGCAGGCUGUUCGACCUCACAUGAAGAAAAAAAUGGCGGAGCACUAGAGCUUUGGUUCCUGCCCACGCCCUCAGGGGAGAGAAAUUAUAAGGCAUGCAAAAGGACAAGAAGCAAGACAAGAAGCUGUCAAUCAAAGGAAGAUUCCAUUUGGAAUAUGAUUGGGAUGUUGAAGGCAAGAGCCAACUGCUGACUUUUUCUGGGCUUCUUGGAUGAUGGUGGUGACUUUGGAGGAUGAAGCUGAGUUUAUCUCUGGGACUUGGGGUAAUCAAGUUUAGGAGGUGGCCUGGCUGAUUUGAAGGCAGAAGAAGGACAAUAGUCCAUAUAUCUCUCUCUGACUUGCUGUGUUUCAUCUAAGUGAUUUAAUUGACAUUUCUCUCAAUAUCCUCCAACCUAAGAUUCACUGUAGAUAAUAGGGAAAUCCCAAACCACUUGCCUCCAUCCUCCAUCUUGUCCUGUUUUUCCCAAUAAAUCCUUACUUGAGAUAAAGAAGAGAAAAGAG
RNAcentral lists this long non-coding RNA (826 nucleotides) under Monodelphis domestica (gray short-tailed opossum). RNAcentral describes it as "lncRNA (ENSMODG00000050415.1)". Lineage: Eukaryota; Metazoa; Chordata; Mammalia; Didelphimorphia; Didelphidae. The record is from RNAcentral.